UAAUCCCCUUUUAUACUGAAGUGUCUGAGGCUCAUUUUAAUUGAACAGAUUUGCCCAAGUGCUAGGGUUAGGGUGUUCCUAGCUCCCAGAUCUGUUCUCAGACUGCCAGACUUUUCAGUUUCCACAUUCUACAGGGACUAGAUGCAGAGCAAUGGACUCAAGAUUCCUGCAAUGUGGUGAAAUCUAGAAGUGCCCUAGAGAAGACUGCCAGACCCUCCCCAGCUGUGUAAGACCUUGGACGCUGUCCAACUACCACUCUGAAAGGGGUAGUAACUGCUGUCAAUAAGGUUGCAAAGCCAUUUCCAUUACAAACUCCUGUUUUCAGCACAGUUCUCAAGAACAAAGUAUAAAUGUCCUCAGCAAAUGCACUGUUUGCUCAAUGGUGUCAUCUUGGUUACAAUUGAGCAGCUUUGUUUCAGUAAAGGGGAAGAUAAAUAGGCCUUCAGCCCUCCUCUGUGUGAACAUGCAUUCAUUGUCCCACGGGGGUUUAUCUCAGACUUGGUUGACAUAUUUUUAUGAGCCCCUUGUUAAAGUAUUGGCAGCACAUCACGGCCGAGUUCAAGUGACAGGGACAAGAGGAACUGGCAGGAAUAGAUCAGCUGAACACAAUGCAAUGACUCUAACCUCAUGAAAAUUUGAUAAUGGCUUUGAUUCACUGAUGACCAACCAAGCAUCAUGUGCCUUCUCCCUUCCUUGUAGGGGAGAACUGAUUUCUGAAAUACGCAGCUAGAAUUUCAUAUAGUUGCUGAUGACAGGUGAAUUAGUCCUCAAACUUACUGUAGUUGCACAACAGAGCACACCUUACCCAUCACUGCCUACAAGCUUGUUCAGUUUGGCUAAUUUCAUUCCGCCUGCUGAAAUUCCCCUGCCGUUCCAAAGGGCAGUUGUGAUCUUCAGUUUCUGUCCUUGACUGUGUGCUGUGGGUAAACAGCUGUCAUGUUCCACUUGAGAGGUGGCUGCAUCUCACUAGUGGGUGAAGUGAUUCUCAGCUGUGAAUGGCAUGCUCUACAUCUGCUAUUUUUAUUAAACCUAGUUAACUGUG
Molecule: long non-coding RNA, 1042 nt
Organism: Dermochelys coriacea (leatherback sea turtle)
Lineage: Eukaryota; Metazoa; Chordata; Testudines; Dermochelyidae
Exons: 2
Source: RefSeq, a predicted model, not a curated record